Non-coding RNA from Oryzias latipes (Japanese medaka), 860 nucleotides. The record is from the annotation of a RefSeq genome assembly. Lineage: Eukaryota; Metazoa; Chordata; Actinopteri; Beloniformes; Adrianichthyidae.
AUGAUUCCUGCAGUCUUUGGAUCCAAUCCUCCUUCCAUUCGUGUGGAGAUUCCCAGCUUCAAGACAUUGAUGAUGACCAACUCUGAUGUGAAAGCUAGAUGCUUCAUCCACAAUGUUGAUGCUAAGCUGGUCUGGCUGAUGGACGGGGAACAACCAUCCACUGACAGAGUGAAUGAAUUCUCAAACAAAACCACUUUAAUCAGUGAACUGACAGUUCCAUCCAGCAGCUGGAAAAACCUGAAACUUCUGAAAUGUAAAGUUCAGCAUCACUGCUUUACUGCUGAGAAGACUGUAGAGAUUUCAGCCUCAGUGACCCACAGUGAACCAUCAGCCGUCCUGCUCCAGGGUUCAAAUGAACUUGUGUGUCUGGUCUUUGGCUUCAGCCCUGCAUCCAUUAACAUCACCUGGAUUGCUGAUGGAAGCACAGAGCUGUGGAACUACAAUAAUAGUCAUCCCCACAGAGGCCCGGAUGGAAAGUUCAGCAUCCAAAGCUUCCUCCGUCUGUCUCCAGUUGACUCCUUACCCGGGGUGACCAUCACCUGCAGGGUGACACAUGGAAACACCACUCUGUCUGUGAAUGUCUCCAAAACAGACACGUUGGAACUCUGUCAUUUCUUUGAUGACAUCCUGCAUGCUGAUGUGAGCCAAGACACAGUCAUGCAAGCUUGGGGCAUGGCUAUUUUCUUCCUCCUUUUAUUCUUCAUCUCCAUCAUCUUUUCUGCUGUCACCACAGCUUUAAAGAUCAAAUGAACAUGUGAAAGAGACAGAUCUCUUUUUCUGCAAGCAUCUCCAGAUUUUUGAUGACAUUUGACCUGUUUUCAUUCAGUUUUAAAGAGUUUAUAUCGUAUAUGUCUAUUUUU